This 316-nucleotide ribosomal RNA is filed under the name Salmonella enterica subsp. enterica serovar Enteritidis. RNAcentral's name for it is "bacterial SSU rRNA". It matches the Rfam family "Bacterial small subunit ribosomal RNA", at positions 1 to 313 of the family's 1533-position model. Lineage: Bacteria; Pseudomonadati; Pseudomonadota; Gammaproteobacteria; Enterobacterales; Enterobacteriaceae. The record is from RNAcentral.
UAAGUGAAGAGUUUGAUCCUGGCUCAGAGUGAACGCUGGCGGUAGGCCUAACACAUGCAAGUCGAACGGCAGCACAGGAGAGCUUGCUCUCUGGGUGGCGAGUGGCGGACGGGUGAGGAAUACAUCGGAAUCUACUCUGUCGUGGGGGAUAACGUAGGGAAACUUACGCUAAUACCGCAUACGACCUACGGGUGAAAGCAGGGGACCUUCGGGCCUUGCGCGAUUGAAUGAGCCGAUGUCGGAUUAGCUAGUUGGCGGGGUAAAGGCCCACCAAGGCGACGAUCCGUAGCUGGUCUGAGAGGAUGAUCAGCCACAC